UGGAACCCUAGGUUCUUCUUCUCACUAUAAGAAAAGAAAGAGACACCAAAGAUAUUCCUCUCUCCUCAUGCACAGAGAAAAGUGUGGGUGAGAGCACAGUGAGAAGGGAGCCAUCUACAAGCCAGGAAGACAGGUCUCACCAGAAACCAACCCUGAUGUUACCUUGCUCUUGGACUUGUCGCCUCCAAAACUGUUCAUUCUUCGACUCCAUGAGACAAGAACCUAGCUUUCUCCUUUCAGUGUGAUGCCACCAUGACACGGCACUUAGGAAAUCAUCACUACAGAGCUUCAGCAAUGCCUCAGGACCUCAACUCCUAGAACAUGGUAGUGCACAAAGUCAACCCAUUCCAGAAAGUAUACUGAGUGCAACCUGCAGAGGAGGAGCAGAUGCAGGUCUGCCUGGUGCAUCAUUGAAGCAGAGGUUCAAUCAUAUGUUUAAAAUAGUCUUGCUCCUUGAAACUCUCUCUCUCUUACUGUUCCUUAA
Long non-coding RNA from Canis lupus familiaris (dog), 484 nucleotides. RefSeq lists it as uncharacterized. Lineage: Eukaryota; Metazoa; Chordata; Mammalia; Carnivora; Canidae. The transcript is spliced from 3 exons. The record is from RefSeq and is a predicted model, not a curated record.